This is a long non-coding RNA of Solanum pennellii, 1326 nucleotides long. RefSeq lists it as uncharacterized. The transcript has 2 exons. Lineage: Eukaryota; Viridiplantae; Streptophyta; Magnoliopsida; Solanales; Solanaceae. The record is from RefSeq and is a predicted model, not a curated record.
UUAGUAUAUAGAGAUUUUGGUGAAUAUUUUCUUUUUUCUUAUUUUGGAGCUGUUCUAGAAUUAUCUUAAUGGAUGUUAUUCGUAUUUUGUGAAUACUGUCAGUCAUAGUGUUGGAAACUUGUUAUUCUUCUGAGAUGCUUUCUAAACUGGGAUGCCAUUGAUCGAAAGACGAAAGCCUUGUGGGCGAAACUCCUGUUGAUGUUUCAUUGAGAUCUGAAGUUUUCUGUUUUCUGUUCAGAAAAUUUGUUUCUGAGGAUCCGAAGCUGUUGCUUGAUGAUCUUGUUUCAGUACUCAUAACAUUAUUUAUACUAGCUGAUUUGUUGAUUUUCAUCCCUGUUAAUAAGCAGGUAAAGCAAUUUUCAUCCUGCGAUUGUGAAUCUCUGUUUUCUUGUCUCAGAGAAGAAUAAGGAACCUCUGAUUUUUUGUUUGAAUUUCUAUGGAACAGCCAGCAGUUAGAAAAACUGCCUUCCUGAUUUUCUGUUGUGUUUUCCUUAAGACUUGAUUGUUUCUGAAAUUUAUGAGCCGGAGAGGAUUUAAAGGCGAGGGAUUGAAGUCUUUUAAGGGUGCUUAUAGGCACAAUAUAGAAUUUUUGGCCAGGCAUGAGAGUGGUUUCCGGUGGCAGAAUGGCCCAUGGUUGCUGGAAAACUGUUGGAUGACAAAUCCAACUUUUCGGGUUUCUGCUGAUUAUUUCUGAUGCAAGAACAGGCCUGUCAUGAAGUUCUACAUGUCCUCCUGGAUGAACAAUUUUUACAAACAUGUUUUUAGUAUUACGACUGCAUAUCCAGUUCGAAAAGGCCAUGACUUUUCAAGCAUAUAACCUGAUUUUGUUUCCUUUUCGGAGUGCCAAGGGGAUAAAUACAUCGAGUGAAUUAAUAGUUAUGAGCUGGGAUGGUAAAUGAUAAAGAGAGCAUAUUUUAGAUGUAAACUAUAAAUUCCUUGGUAUGGAGGUAUGGAUAUUGACAAAGUAAAUAAGUGCAGUUGGAAAGUGUAUAUAAUGGAGUAGACCAGGUAGUAUACUACAGGGGUAAAUUUGGACUGAUAGUACAAGUAAACGUAGACAAUAUCCGAAAGUAGAGAGGUAAAUUUGACCCUUCGUGUUUGUGAAUGAAACACGUCUGAUAUACCGAUGAUAGUCAAGUUGCUGUGACUGAAAACUUCAAAGGAAACCAGCUAUUGACACUGGUUUUCCAGAAGGAGAAUCUUCAAACUAGGAAGUAACAACACUGUUCUUUUGUCUUUCUUUAUGUGAAUGUUGUUUCACUAAAAGAUACGUUACAAAUUGUACCAUGUGACUAUCUAAGACAAUGAACUGGAUAUUCUUUUCCC